RNAcentral lists this ribosomal RNA (253 nucleotides) under uncultured bacterium. RNAcentral's name for it is "partial 16S ribosomal RNA". It matches the Rfam family "Bacterial small subunit ribosomal RNA", at positions 524 to 776 of the family's 1533-position model. The record is from RNAcentral.
UACGUAGGGUGCAAGCGUUGUCCGGAAUUAUUGGGCGUAAAGAGCUCGUAGGCGGUUUAUUGCGUCGGCUGUGAAAUCCCGAGGCUCAACCUCGGGUCUGCAGUCGAUACGAGCAAACUAGAGUGUUGCAGGGGAGACUGGAAUUCCUGGUGUAGCGGUGAAAUGCGCAGAUAUCAGGAGGAACACCGGUGGCGAAGGCGGGUCUCUGGGCAACAACUGACGCUGAGGAGCGAAAGCGUGGGGAGCGAACAGG